RNAcentral lists this ribosomal RNA (440 nucleotides) under uncultured bacterium. RNAcentral describes it as "partial 16S ribosomal RNA". It matches the Rfam family "Bacterial small subunit ribosomal RNA", at positions 338 to 795 of the family's 1533-position model. The record is from RNAcentral.
CCUACGGGGAGCAGCAGUGGGGAAUAUUGCACAAUGGGGGAAACCCUGAUGCAGCGACGCCGCGUGAAGGAUGAAGUAUUUCGGUAUGUAAACUUCUAUCAGCAGGGAAGAAAAUGACGGUACCUGACUAAGAAGCCCCGGCUAACUACGUGCCAGCAGCCGCGGUAAUACGUAGGGGGCAAGCGUUAUCCGGAUUUACUGGGUGUAAAGGGAGCGUAGACGGUAUGGCAAGUCUGAAGUGAAAGCCCGGGGCUCAACCCCGGGACUGCUUUGGAAACUGCCUGACUGGAGUGCUGGAGAGGCAAGCGGAAUUCCUAGUGUAGCGGUGAAAUGCGUAGAUAUUAGGAAGAACACCAGUGGCGAAGGCGGCUUGCUGGACAGUAACUGACGUUGAGGCUCGAAAGCGUGGGGAGCAAACAGGAUUAGAUACCCGAGUAGUC